This 253-nucleotide ribosomal RNA is filed under the name uncultured bacterium. Its description in RNAcentral is "partial 16S ribosomal RNA". It matches the Rfam family "Bacterial small subunit ribosomal RNA", at positions 524 to 776 of the family's 1533-position model. The record is from RNAcentral.
UACGUAGGGUGCGAGCGUUGUCCGGAAUUAUUGGGCGUAAAGAGCUCGUAGGCGGUCUGUCGCGUCGAAUGUGAAAACCCGGGGCUCAACUCCGGGCUUGCAUUCGAUACGGGCAGGCUAGAGUUCGGUAGGGGAGUCUGGAAUUCCUGGUGUAGCGGUGAAAUGCGCAGAUAUCGGGAGGAACACCGGUGGCGAAGGCGGGUCUCUGGGCCGAUACUGACGCUGAGGAGCGAAAGCGUGGGGAGCAAACAGG